Long non-coding RNA from Cyprinus carpio (common carp), 1768 nucleotides. Lineage: Eukaryota; Metazoa; Chordata; Actinopteri; Cypriniformes; Cyprinidae. The record is from Ensembl.
AUGCUUUCCCAUACGUUCAGUCACCUUUUGGCUCUUGAAAUAAGGAAAUACAUUAAGAUCCAGCCAUCCCGCUCUUUCCACACUGCUGUUUUCUCUCACUGGUCAAUAUCAGUUUGUUGUUUUCGGUGUGUUUUUGUACCCAUAUUGGCUUCAGCCUCUAGAAACUGAAGAGGAAUGACGAUGUCAAAUCCCUUGUAUAUGGGAUGCUUCAGAGACAGAAUUGGGGAGAGGAAUCAGGGCAUUGUGUUAAUUAAAGUUUUGUUGUUUUGUACCUUGUUGUUGUGAUUGUCAUUUGUUUAGUGUUGAAGUAUUAUAUUCUUGUUAUUAUUACUAUAUUAGUUUAUAUGGCACCAAGUGAGUCAGGACAGUUGAAUAGUCUCUACCUAUUUAACUAUAACUAUAACUAUUUAAACAUCACAUGCACAGCUAAAACAAGUCCAGACCGAAUUAAAUCCAACCUCUCUGACCCCAGGCCAAAAAUAGUCACCUAAAGAUUAUGUAACGCUAAACUGAUCUGUACUAAAACCAUAAAGAUCUAAACACUAAACCGAUUGAGAUUUUGACUUGAAAUUAGUGUAAAAUUAGAUCACAGAAUUAAUGAAUACAAGUCUAUUUAAAAUCAGAUUAGAUAUCGCAAAUUCUUACGCUGCACAGAAUCUCUAGAAGCCCCUCAACUGCUGAGCUGAUCUACAGUGGAGUUCAAAGGUCACUCUCACGUUUUCAUUAUAUUUCUUGCAGUUUGCUUUAAAAACAGUAGCUCUUGUGCUUAAAAGAACAAAACACAUACUUAUCACACAUUUGCUUAUUCAUUUUGUUCUGUGAUCUAAAAAUAGUGUGUGAGCUUAUAUUUGAAAGUACAUAAAAUAUAUUUGAAAUAUAUCAUUUGAAAAAAUAAUUAUAUAAAUUAUUUUAUAUAUAUAUAUAUAUAUAUAUAUAUAUGUAUAUGUAUAUAUAUAUAUAUAAAUGAGAAAUCUCUCUCUCUCUCUCUCUCUCUCUCUCUCUAUAUAUAUAUAUAUAUAUAGUAUUUUUAUACUAUUUUAAAUAAUUUCUUCAAAUAUUAAAAAAUUCUAAGAUAUUGUUUAUAUACAGGUUUAGAUUAGAUUUUGACUCUUUGACCCCACCAUAUAUAGUAAAAAAAAAAUGUAAUUUUCAAUAUGUAAUUACAGUACCAAGAAUUCAUGUGACUAGUUACAUUUAUAGAGAUUCAAUGCAGGGUAUGAUACAUAAUAUUAAAAAUUAAAUCAAUCUGAUUCGUUUAAAUUUUGUUGAUAAGAUCUAUUAUAGUUUAAAAGACAAUAACAGUUGUGUUUAUGGAUGAAGAACAGAAUUUAAUCAUAUAUUGUGUACUAAUGUACCGAUCAUGUAACUUUAAAAUGCUCUGUCAUACCGUUGAUCAAAGCUCUCUUUUUGUCUCUUUUUCUGUCCGUCUGUGAUGUGUGUGUGUGUGCAUUGAGUUUGGUCGUGGUGUCUAACAUAAUACAGAAUGUAGUCUCUUUCUACUUCUCUUUCUCUCACUCUCUGUCUGUGUUUAUUGGUAUUCAUGUCCAUGCGCACACGGCUGCACAGAGGCUUUUCAGCUGUUCCAAAUGUAGCUGUGGGACAUUUCAGUGAAGAAGACCAUCAGCUAGUGUCUUGGCAGAGUCCGCAUUUGCUGCUUUUCUGUUUGUUUGACUUUUUGACUGUGUGAAAAGAGAAUAUUGCUGUGUAUUUCUGUAAACAAUGACUGUUAGUUAAUAAAGAUGUGACCACAUUUAUAAGUUACUGUAUC